This 200-nucleotide long non-coding RNA is filed under the name Elaeis guineensis (African oil palm). RNAcentral describes it as "long non-coding RNA (EGUI_LNC033021)". Lineage: Eukaryota; Viridiplantae; Streptophyta; Magnoliopsida; Arecales; Arecaceae. The record is from RNAcentral.
AACCAAAUGUUUGGAAUGAGAAUCAUUCAUGUUCAUUCUGAUUCCAGAUCCCCACUCUCUCCAACCAAAUAUCUCCUAAUUUUUUACAUAACUCUGAAAUAGAAGGCAAAUUUUGAAGUUGCGGAUGGCCGUUAGUUCUAAUUCUGAAAUGCUACAAUUGAAAUUUCAAAUUUAUCAUCUUUCAUCGGGUAAAAUCCACA